This is a long non-coding RNA of Gossypium raimondii (Peruvian cotton), 453 nucleotides long. RefSeq lists it as uncharacterized. The transcript is spliced from 2 exons. Lineage: Eukaryota; Viridiplantae; Streptophyta; Magnoliopsida; Malvales; Malvaceae. The record is from RefSeq and is a predicted model, not a curated record.
CAGCAGAAUAAAAAGAAAAAAAUGAAAGGAAGGAAAAAAAAUUUCCUCUGCUAGGGUUUCGCCUCAGUCCCUUGCGCCGCUGUCCAUCCGCCGUGGUUUCAUCGCAACCAGUGGCCGGAGGCGCGCCAAACUGGGUUUUUUAACCCUUUUUCGAGCCGAUCUGAGGGCGAGGUGUCGUGGAGCGAAUUGUGCGCGUGGGGAGGCCGAUCUCCGAGUCCUGCUGCGGCUAGAGGCUGGGGAGGUUGCUACUUGUUGCGGCUACUUGCUGCUAAGGUUUUCUGUAGUAUUGGGCUAGUUCAAUUGGGCCUACAUGUGUUGGGCCAUUCUAGGUUUAGUUGGGCCCGGGCAUUAUUGGGUUUGUACAUUACAUAUUAGAAAUUUAUGACAACAUAGAUUGUAUGAACAUAUAACAUUUGUUUAAUGCAAAUAAAUGACUGAAUAAAUUUAGAUAAA